This 323-nucleotide long non-coding RNA is filed under the name Anser cygnoides (Swan goose). RNAcentral describes it as "lncRNA (ENSACDG00005010696.1)". Lineage: Eukaryota; Metazoa; Chordata; Aves; Anseriformes; Anatidae. The record is from RNAcentral.
AUGCCGUUCUUGGUACUGAAGACUGAGGGCCGGUCUUGCCCAUCCUGGGGUGAUGAGCAGGUACACACCUCUGAGGUAUUUCUGGGUUGGAUAUUUAUUUGUUGUAUGCUCCAACCAGUUUUUUGGAGCUCUUUCUGGCGUGGCUUCCACUCAGCAUUCAAGGAAAAGGGCACUUUGGAAGAUACAUUCUUUCUCAUUUCUAAGGGAACAAGGAAGAGAUGGAGGCAGAGGAAGAGAGACUCAUUGUUCAUCUUGCGUUUAGUCACUGCUAUUUCCACAUGCUUUAUGGGGUAGAGAUCAAAUACACCAUUCUCCAUGCUAAG